CCUGCUCAAUGAACCAAUUCAAUAGCCGCUUAUAACGUGCUAAGGUAGCAUAAUCACUUGUCUUUUAAUUUGAGAAUAGAAUGAAGGGGUAAACGAGUCUAAAACUUUAUUUAAAAAUCUUUAAAAAAUUUAUAUUAAAGUAAAAAAGCUUUAAUACUAAUAAAAGACGACAAGACCCUUAGAACUUCACUAAAAGUUCAACUGGGGUGGUAAAGUUAUAAAAACUAAUUAUUUUUCAUAAAAAACUCAUUAUAAUACAAAGUUACCUUAGGGAUAACAGCAUAAUUAAAUUUUAAAGAUCUUAUUUAAAAUGUAGAUUAUGACCUCGAUGUUGAAUUAUUAUACUAAAAAUAGAAAUUUAUUUCUAAGUAAGUCUGUUCGACUUUUAAAAAAAUACAU
RNAcentral lists this ribosomal RNA (399 nucleotides) under Althepus xianxi. Its description in RNAcentral is "partial 16S ribosomal RNA". It matches the Rfam family "Bacterial large subunit ribosomal RNA", at positions 1858 to 2601 of the family's 2925-position model. Lineage: Eukaryota; Metazoa; Arthropoda; Arachnida; Araneae; Ochyroceratidae. The record is from RNAcentral.